RNAcentral lists this ribosomal RNA (642 nucleotides) under uncultured bacterium. RNAcentral's name for it is "bacterial SSU rRNA". It matches the Rfam family "Bacterial small subunit ribosomal RNA", at positions 8 to 643 of the family's 1533-position model. The record is from RNAcentral.
AGAGUUUGAUCAUGGCUCAGAUUGAACGCUGGCGGAAUGCUUUACACAUGCAAGUCGAGCGGCAGCGCGGGGGCAACCCUGGCGGCGAGCAGCGAACGGGUGAGUAACAUAUCGGAACGUACCCCGUCGUGGGGGAUAACUAUCCGAAAGGAUAGCUAAUACCGCAUACGACCUGAGGGUGAAAGCGGGGGACCGUAAGGCCUCGCGCGAUGGGAGCGGCCGAUAUCGGAUUAGCUAGUUGGUGAGGUAAAGGCUCACCAAGGCGACGAUCCGUAGCUGGUCUGAGAGGACGACCAGCCACACUGGAACUGAGACACGGUCCAGACUCCUACGGGAGGCAGCAGUGGGGAAUUUUGGACAAUGGGGGCAACCCUGAUCCAGCCAUUCCGCGUGAGUGAAGAAGGCCUUCGGGUUGUAAAGCUCUUUCAGCAGGAACGAAACGGUGGUCCCUAAUACGGGCUGCUAAUGACGGUACCUGAAGAAGAAGCACCGGCUAACUACGUGCCAGCAGCCCGCGGUAAUACGUAGGGUGCGAGCGUUAAUCGGAAUUACUGGGCGUAAAGCGUGCGCAGGCGGGUUAUAUAAGACAGAUGUGAAAUCCCCGGGCUUAACCUGGGAACUGCGUUUGUGACUGUAUAACUC